Molecule: unclassified non-coding RNA, 378 nt
Filed under: plant metagenome
Description: partial contains 5.8S ribosomal RNA, internal transcribed spacer 2, and large subunit ribosomal RNA
Rfam family: 5.8S ribosomal RNA (bases 1-105)
Source: RNAcentral
GAAAUGCGAUAAGUAAUGUGAAUUGCAGAAUUCAGUGAAUCAUCGAAUCUUUGAACGCACCUUGCGCUCCUUGGUAUUCCUUGGAGCAUGCCUGUUUGAGUAUCAUGAAAUCUUCAAAGUAAAUCUUUUGUUAACUCAAUUGGUUUCUACUUUGGUAUUGGAGGUCUUUGCAGCUUCACACCUGCUCCUCUUUGUUUAUUAGCUGGAUCUCAGUGUUAUGCUUGGUUCCACUCGGCGUGAUAAGUUAUCUAUCGCUGAGGACACUGUAAAAGGUGGCCAAGGUAAAUGCAGAUGAACCGCUUCUAAUAGUCCAUUGACUUGGACAAUACUUUUAUGAUCUGAUCUCAAAUCAGGUAGGACUACCCGCUGAACUUAAGC